GGGAAAAGUCCUAAUUCCACGCCAUUUCUUUUGGGUUUCUCUCCAAAUCACAAAUCACAUUCACUUUGCGAAGUAUGAUCUCCUAAUCCUGGCUUGGACCGUGUUGGCGAGCACAAGACAUGACAUUCAAGAAGAUGGUGACAAACCAAAUCUCUCUCUAAGGUUUAGAGAGAGAACAUUAUCUCUGAGAGUUUUUCUUCUUAGGCUCAGUCCUCCGUCCCUGCUAGUUUUCGCGGUUGCCCCUGCCUCGAUGGGCAGGAUGGCUUCUUCCCCCUUGCCUGAAAGUGGGUUUCACUUCCUCCCCGUCCGAGUGAGGUUGUAAACAGUUCUUUUGGUGCUUGAUUUUUUGGCAAGCGGUUCUUUUCUUGUGAGGAAGUUUCCUUUCGAUCUUGCCUUAUUUGGUUGUAUGUUGGUGUUUGUUUUUUCUUUGUUCUUGUUUUAGGUGGAGGAACUUCCUUGCAUUGGUAUUUUUUUUAUAUGCUGGUGAAUGGGGUUUCAAUAGAUCUGAGCUUCUGAAGGUUUUAUUCUCCAUUGCAAUGGCUUUUCUCUUCAGGAGGUUUCCCUUCUCCUUUGGCUCGAGGGCUGGCGAGCGAACUCAAUCGCAGAAGUCUCUCUGCUCUUUCUCCUACAUUCGUCGUUCAUCUCUUAUCCUUGCUAGGGUUGCAUGUGUUUUUCCUUGCUUAGUGUCGCUCUUAUUUCUGUUGCUUUGGUUGCUGGAGGCNN
This 723-nucleotide long non-coding RNA is filed under the name Manihot esculenta (cassava). RNAcentral's name for it is "long non-coding RNA (MESC_LNC012154)". Lineage: Eukaryota; Viridiplantae; Streptophyta; Magnoliopsida; Malpighiales; Euphorbiaceae. The record is from RNAcentral.